This 106-nucleotide small RNA is filed under the name Marmota monax (woodchuck). Lineage: Eukaryota; Metazoa; Chordata; Mammalia; Rodentia; Sciuridae. The record is from RNAcentral.
GCCGGGUGUAGUGGCCACGCCUGUCAUCCCAGCAGCUUGGGAGGCUGAGGCAGGAGGAUGACAGGUCCAAAGUCAGCCUCAGCAACUUAGGGAGACCCUGUCUCAA